This 447-nucleotide ribosomal RNA is filed under the name uncultured bacterium. Its description in RNAcentral is "bacterial SSU rRNA". It matches the Rfam family "Bacterial small subunit ribosomal RNA", at positions 438 to 876 of the family's 1533-position model. The record is from RNAcentral.
AUGCGGAAAGAACGACCCUGAGACGCAUACUCUCAGGGAGUGACGGUACCGCAGGAGGAAGCACCGGCUAACUCCGUGCCAGCAGCCGCGGUAAUACGGAGGGUGCAAGCGUUGUUCGGAAUUAUUGGGCGUAAAGGGCGCGUAGGCGGUAAUGCAAGUCAGAUGUGAAAUACUCCGGCUCAACUGGGGAACUGCAUCUGANACUGCAUAACUAGAGUACAGAAGAGGGAAACGGAAUUCCCGGUGUAGAGGUGAAAUUCGUAGAUAUCGGGAGGAACACCAGUGGCGAAGGCGGUUUCCUGGUCUGAUACUGACGCUGAGGCGCGAAAGUGUGGGGAGNAAACAGGAUUAGAUACCCUGGUAGUCCACACUGUAAACGGUGAACACUAGGUGUGGGAGGUGUAAUACCUUCCGUGCCGUAGCUAACGCGUUAAGUGUUCCGCCUGG